This 253-nucleotide ribosomal RNA is filed under the name uncultured bacterium. Its description in RNAcentral is "partial 16S ribosomal RNA". It matches the Rfam family "Bacterial small subunit ribosomal RNA", at positions 524 to 776 of the family's 1533-position model. The record is from RNAcentral.
UACAGAGGUCCCAAGCGUUGUUCGGAUUCAUUGGGCGUAAAGGGCGCGUAGGCGGCCUGACAAGUGGAAGGUGAAAUCCCUCGGCUUAACCGAGGAACUGCCCUCCAAACUGUCUGGCUUGAGACCGGGAGAGGUGAGUGGAAUUCCCAGUGUAGCGGUGAAAUGCGUAGAUAUUGGGAGGAACACCAGUGGCGAAGGCGGCUCACUGGACCGGUACUGACGCUGAUGUGCGAAAGCGUGGGGAGCAAACGGG